GGGUAUUUAGCUUAAUUUGGUAGAGCAUUUAGCUUACAACUAAAAUAGUAGUAGUUCAAAUCUAUUAAUACCUA
This is a non-coding RNA of Coemansia sp. BCRC 34490, 74 nucleotides long. The record is from the annotation of a GenBank genome assembly. NCBI's taxonomy places the organism in Eukaryota, Fungi, Kickxellomycota, Kickxellomycetes, Kickxellales, Kickxellaceae.